UCUGGUUGAUCCUGCCUGAACUGAUGUGUUCAUUUCAAAGAUUAAGCCAUGCAUGUAUAAGUUUAAUCGUUUUAACGAGAAACCGCGAACGGCUCAUUACAAUGGCCAUGAUUUACUUGAUCUUGAUUAUCUAAAUGGAUAACUGUGGAAAAGCUAGAGCUAAUACAUGCACCAAAGCUUUGUCCUCUCGGAAAAGCGCAUUUAUUAGAACAAAACCACGCGGCUUCGGCUGCUUCUUGUUGACUCAGAAUAACUAAGCUGACCGCAUGGCCUUGUGCCGGCGGCGUGUCUUUCAAGCGUCCACUUUAUCAACUUGACGGGAGCAUAAUCGACUCCCGUGGUGGUGACGGAUAACGGAGGAUCAGGGUUCGACUCCGGAGAAGGGGCCUGAGAAAUGGCCACUACGUCUAAGGAUGGCAGCAGGCGCGCAAAUUACCCACUCUCGGCUCGAGGAGGUAGUGACGAGAAAUAACGAGAUCGUUCUCUUUGAGGCCGGUCAUCGGAAUGGGUACAAUUUAAACCCUUUAACGAGUAUCAAGCAGAGGGCAAGUCUGGUGCCAGCAGCCGCGGUAAUUCCAGCUCUGCUAAUACAUAGAAUUAUUGCUGCGGUUAAAAAGCUCGUAGUUGGAUUCGUAUCGGUACCCUGGAACCCUCCGGGUGUUUCUGGGUGUUAUCGGUUUAUCGUAAUGUUCGGUUUUGAGUCCUUAACAGGAUUCUUAACAGGCAUUGCAAGUUUACUUUGAACAAAUCAGAGUGCUUCAAACAGGCGUUUUCGCUUGAAUGAUCGUGCAUGGAAUAAUAGAAAACGAUUUCGGUUCAGUUUUUAUUGGUUUUACGGACUGAGAUAAUGGUUAACAGAGACAAACGGGGGCAUUUGUAUGGCCCCGUGAGAGGUGAAAUUCUUGGACCGUGGCCAGACAAACUACAGCGAAAGCAUUUGCCAAGAAUGUCUUCAUUAAUCAAGAACGAAAGUCAGAGGUUCGAAGGCGAUCAGAUACCGCCCUAGUUCUGACCGUAAACGAUGCCAACUAGCGAUCCGCCGAUGGAAAUUAUAUUGCCUUGGUGGGGAGCUUCCCGGAAACGAAAGUCUUCCGGUUCCGGGGGAAGUAUGGUUGCAAAGCUGAAACUUAAAGGAAUUGACGGAAGGGCACCACCAGGAGUGGAGCCUGCGGCUUAAUUUGACUCAACACGGGGAAACUCACCCGGCCCGGACACUGUGAGGAUUGACAGAUUGAUAGCUUUUUCAUGAUUCAGUGGAUGGUGGUGCAUGGCCGUUCUAGUUCGUGGAGUGAUUUGUCUGGUUUAUCCGAUAACGAGCGAGACUCUAACCUACUAAAUGCUGGUACAUAAUUUACGUGUAUACAGCUUCUUAGA
RNAcentral lists this ribosomal RNA (1374 nucleotides) under Meloidogyne arenaria. RNAcentral describes it as "SSU rRNA". It matches the Rfam family "Eukaryotic small subunit ribosomal RNA", at positions 1 to 1415 of the family's 1831-position model. The record is from RNAcentral. Lineage: Eukaryota; Metazoa; Nematoda; Chromadorea; Rhabditida; Meloidogynidae.